This 253-nucleotide ribosomal RNA is filed under the name uncultured bacterium. RNAcentral's name for it is "partial 16S ribosomal RNA". It matches the Rfam family "Bacterial small subunit ribosomal RNA", at positions 524 to 776 of the family's 1533-position model. The record is from RNAcentral.
UACGGGGGGGGCAAGCGUUGUUCGGAAUUACUGGGCGUAAAGCGUGCGCAGGCGGCUUUGCAAGACAGGUGUGAAAUCCCCGGGCUUAACCUGGGAACUGCAUUUGUGACUGCAUGGCUGGAGUGCGGCAGAGGGGGAUGGAAUUCCGCGUGUAGCAGUGAAAUGCGUAGAUAUCGAGAGGAACACCUGCGGCGAAGGCGGGUUGCUGGGCUGACACUGACGCUGAUGCGCGAAAGCCAGGGGAGCGAACGGG